CAGCAGCCACGGGAAUACGAAGGGUGCAAGCGUUAAUCGGAAUUACUGGGCGUAAAGCGUGCGUAGGCGGUGAGUUAAGUCUGCUGUGAAAUCCCCGGGCUCAACCUGGGAAUGGCAGUGGAUACUGGCUCGCUAGAGUGUGUCAGGGGGGGGUGGAAUUCCGCGUGUAGCAGUGAAAUGCGUAGAUAUGCGGAGGAACACCGAUGGCGAAGGCAGCCCCCUGGGCCAGCACUGACGCUCAUGCACGAAAGCGUGGGGAGCAAACAGGAUUAGAUACCCGUGUAGUCCCUGUCUCUUAUAA
RNAcentral lists this ribosomal RNA (301 nucleotides) under uncultured bacterium. Its description in RNAcentral is "partial 16S ribosomal RNA". It matches the Rfam family "Bacterial small subunit ribosomal RNA", at positions 509 to 809 of the family's 1533-position model. The record is from RNAcentral.